This 736-nucleotide ribosomal RNA is filed under the name Salmonella enterica subsp. enterica serovar Infantis. RNAcentral's name for it is "partial 23S ribosomal RNA". It matches the Rfam family "Bacterial large subunit ribosomal RNA", at positions 2164 to 2894 of the family's 2925-position model. The record is from RNAcentral. Lineage: Bacteria; Pseudomonadati; Pseudomonadota; Gammaproteobacteria; Enterobacterales; Enterobacteriaceae.
GUGGACGCCAGUCUGCAUGGAGCCGACCUUGAAAUACCACCCUUUAAUGUUUGAUGUUCUAACGUGGACCCGUAAUCCGGGUUGCGGACAGUGUCUGGUGGGUAGUUUGACUGGGGCGGUCUCCUCCUAAAGAGUAACGGAGGAGCACGAAGGUUGGCUAAUCCUGGUCGGACAUCAGGAGGUUAGUGCAAUGGCAUAAGCCAGCUUGACUGCGAGCGUGACGGCGCGAGCAGGUGCGAAAGCAGGUCAUAGUGAUCCGGUGGUUCUGAAUGGAAGGGCCAUCGCUCAACGGAUAAAAGGUACUCCGGGGAUAACAGGCUGAUACCGCCCAAGAGUUCAUAUCGACGGCGGUGUUUGGCACCUCGAUGUCGGCUCAUCACAUCCUGGGGCUGAAGUAGGUCCCAAGGGUAUGGCUGUUCGCCAUUUAAAGUGGUACGCGAGCUGGGUUUAGAACGUCGUGAGACAGUUCGGUCCCUAUCUGCCGUGGGCGCUGGAGAACUGAGGGGGGCUGCUCCUAGUACGAGAGGACCGGAGUGGACGCAUCACUGGUGUUCGGGUUGUCAUGCCAAUGGCACUGCCCGGUAGCUAAAUGCGGAAGAGAUAAGUGCUGAAAGCAUCUAAGCACGAAACUUGCCCCGAGAUGAGUUCUCCCUGAGACUUAGAGUCUCCUGAAGGAACGUUGAAGACGACGACGUUGAUAGGCCGGGUGUGUAAGCGCAGCGAUGCGUUGAGCUAA